AAGAGCUAAACCUGUUCUCUGUGCUUGACAUCAGGUGAAAUCCCUUGUUUCUCUAUAGGAAGAAUAUAUUCACUAGUUGGCCGCUAGGCAGGUUGAGAGGCUAGUGCUGACUGGAUAAUUGCUACACUGCACAACCAAGCAGGAAAGAAAGUUGGGCCUCUCUUCAGUUAAAGCCUUUCCCUUCCUCAUUCCUCCUGGGCAGUGAUACUGACCAAGACAGAAUUUUGGGACAGAAGUCCAAAACUCCCCUCAACAGAAUGAGCAGUUGGACCCACAAACAUAGCAUUCCUAGUUAAAGAACCCCCUCAAAAUCUAGCAUUGCCAAGCUGCACUGGUGCUCCUGGGUCUCAAGACUUAAAGAAGCCCUCCAGAGUAGGUAGGACAAAUAGUGCUAAAGAUCCAACAGCUGAUUUAUUUGCAGGGCUCCUAGUCUGCUAAGAGGCCCACCCCGUGGCCUAUACUGUGCCAAUGCACCAGCAACAGCUGCAGGAUUUUGACUGGGCUCGCCACAUAGUGUUCCCAUUCUAUAUAGCUGUGACUUAACAAGAAAUGGAAACUUCUUAUUGUAGGAUGGGCCUAGCUUUCAAGGGUGGUUCAGAGCAUAAGUGAGACACAUGCUUCUGGUGACAGAUCUAAUAAUGAACACCUCCACUCACAAUAGCUUGCCUUGUAUAAUGCAGGGCAGGAAAUUAAUCCUCGGGCUAUUUCAGAUGUGAAGGUAAGAAGGAUUUGUAGUCUUACCACUGCUAGGUUUGAAGCCAGCACUCUCAUCCUGGUGGAAAUGGUAGCAGAUGGUGCAUGGGUAAGCCUGGCUGGGGUGCUAGUGUGGUUUGGAAGACACAAGCCCCUAUACUGUAAAGAACUGGGAGCUAGGGGCAAGCUCUGAAUCAAGUUUCUACUACAGUGUGCUGUAGGGAGGGGUGCCCUUAUCUGAGUAUGGAACGGAUGAACUAGAGAUGAGACUUCUGUAUUCAGAUUGUUUUCCUGUGCAGUAGGUAGGAUUUGCUCUUCUCUCCUAACAUAACCUUGAUAUACAGGUGUGUGCCUGUAUACAAAAAGGCUGAGAAAAAUGAUAUACAGUCAUACCUUGUUAUGUUUGCUUCAGGUUACGUCUUUUCAGGUUGCGUCCUGUGGCGACCCGGAAGUACCGGAGUUUCGCCACUCAUGCAUGCGCAGACACGCAAAAUGAUGUCACGUGCAUGUGCAGAAGCGGCAAAUCGCAACCCGUGCAUGCACAGAUGCGGGUUGCGUUCCUUUUAGGUUGCGAACGGGGCUCCAGAACGGAUCCAGUUCACAACCAGAGGUACCACUGUAAUCAGGUCAGGACUCUGAACUGUGGCUGCUCCAGGAAAAUUGGAAAAGUUGGAGUGCCAAUGAGUGUUCUAAUCAUACAUCAAACGAACAGAAGUUACAGAUAGUGUAACUUGCGCUGUGAAUGAAGAUGUUUUAAUAACCCAUUGAAGAAAUACAUUAGCAGGCUCAAGAUGACUUGCCUCUUUCCAUUUCCUCUAUGAGUUAAAGUUGCAACAUUUGGGGCUUUUUAGAGGACAGAAGAGUGAGCAAGAGGGGAAAUGACAGGUGUAUAAAAUUAUGCAUGGUUGGAGAAUGUGGAUACAGAGAGGAAAUUCCCUCCCUCUCAUAGCACUAGAACUGGGGACAUCCAACAAACCUAAAUAUUGGAAGGUGCAGGGCUGACAAAAGAAAGUUCUGCUUCGCAGAUUAGACAAAUUCAUGGAGGAUAAUAUUAUAUUCUCCUUCCAGUGUUGUAGGCAGUAUACCAGUGGCUGGGAAUCACAGGUGGGAAGAGUGGUGAGGAGAGUAUUGUUCUGCUCCUGUUCUGCUUGCUUGUGUUUGGAGAAGAACAAACCACCAGUGUGCGAAUUCACCUAUAAGAUGAGGCCAGCCUCUGGUUUGUUUGCCUUUCUCUGGCAUGGCAGCAGCAGGAGUGGGGAAGGAACAAAAUGAGGACCUUUGAGCAGCAUGACCCUGCACUCUGCUCAUUCACAUUAAGCCACGGUUUAUUUUUAACUAUUGUUUAUUUUUAACCAUGAUUUAAUGUGAUGCAUGAACCUUUUUAAUUUGAGCACUCUUAAUUGUAUAAAUUAGAAGACCUGAAAACUUAUCUGACUUGUGGAAACUGAAUUAUAACCAUAACUGCUAGUCUUUAUUAUGCUACAUUAUGUAUGAGAUAAUUCAAUUAUUUUUUUCAAUGUUAUCUACCAUAUAGAAUCUAAUGGGCGUGAUCUAGAUAGAGUUAGGCAUCUAUAAGCCCCACUGAUUUCAAGUGAUCACUCCACACCUGGGCUGGAUCUUGCCCUACUAUAGAUGUCUGAUUAAAUCAUUGGCUACCAGCAGGUCGAUAACACACUUCCCUGCUGUUCUGUGUUUGUGACACACUAUAAUCCGGAAAAUGUGGCUUAAUAUAUAGGGGCAUAUAGGGUGAAGAGUAUCCGCUUUUGGUCAUUGGUUGAUCUAGAGACCUGCAGUGCCAGCUGGUUACAUGAUUCUAUUUAGGGCUAAAUAUAUCAAGUUGCUUUCCCAGGAAGUUAUCUGCACAUGCUUUUCUAUCCAUGUUGUAUGUCGGGCUGAUUUUUAAAGGAAUAAAAAUUAGUUCACUGCUGAGUUAACUUUUCCUCCAGAUUUUGUCUAUAUUAUUUAUUUUCAUAUUUGAUUGUAAUUUGUUUAAAGUAAGACUGCUAAUGGAGCAGUGAUCAGUAAUUAGUUGGCAGUCAUGCUAUGGCAUGAAUAUAAAAAUGGAAAGAUUAAAAAAAAGUGGGCGACCUUCAGAUAGACCCCUUUAAAACCUUAUACUAUUUGUCACUGGCUGCCUUGGAACAUGUCUCAUUUGUAAACUAUACAAAAACCAGAUAUGUUGCCUUUAGAACAAAGAAACAAUAUUUAUAUGAACUGAAUUGUGCAUCUUAAAAUACAGAUAAAAUGUACUUCAGGUUAUUCAUUUAACACAAGGGUAGGCAACCUAAGGCCCAUGGGCCAGAUCUGGCCCAAUCACCUUCUAAAUCCGGCCCACGCACGGUCCGGCAAUCAGUGUGUUUUUACAUGAGUAGAAUGUGUCCUUUUAUUUAAAAUGCAUCUCUCGGUUAUUUGUGGGGCAUAGGAAUUCGUUCAUUUACCCCCUCAAAAUACAGUCCGGCCCACCACAUGGUUUGAGGGACGGUGGAUCGGCCCACGGCUGAAAAAGGUUGCUGACCCCUGAUUUAACACCUGCAUUUGCAGAGAGAGGACAUGUGGAUUCUUAGUAGCAAUGCAGGAAAGUGUCAAUUUUGAUUUCUCUUAGUUUCCUAUUUUUCCAGACUUGGGUUAAGUUUGUCACAUUUCUACAACCAUUUGUGAUUUUUUAAAAGAAGUUUUCAAGGGAAUUCAUCUGUUUUAUAUUGUGUAUAUCUCCAAAUGUGCAUAUUUUUGUAAUUUCCCUUAUGAUGCAUUUUCACUAAUGUGUUUUUAUGCACAUUUUGCACACUUUCCCCAGAUAUAUGCAUUUUGUACACACUUUUUGUUGAAAAACUGCACCACAAAAAUUGAAGACGUGCAAAUUUUGAAGGAUAGCUGUGUUUCUGUUUGCAUAUAAUUUCAGGAAGUUAAAAUUUCGAACUUCCGCUUGCAAAUGAGUACCAAACUGACACCCCCCCCCCCGUGUUUAGUUGAGUUUAUGACAAUCCAUGCUAUGGAACGAAUUCAUGUAUGUAUGUGUGUAUGUAUGAAUAAAUAAAUCUUAAUUGCAAUGUACAAUUCCCUGUACAAACCAGAUCUAAAAAUGGUUAAUUUAACCAAGGGUGGGGUGGGACAGGACAUGGAGAAGCGUUCCUCUGUUGUAAGCAUUUUAUGCAUCUCUAAUAAAAUGCCAUCUAACAAUCCAUAUUUGUAUGCGUGUGUAAUUUAUAACAAUGAACAUGUGGAGCAAACGGGUCUAAGCAGUAUUCUUUUCCUCCUGCUAUCAGACAAAGGUAAUUAAUAAUAUAAAUGCACCUUAUGCCUAUAUGCAGAGGUUCGUAAACCAUAGAAAUCUUGAGGUUUGAGUAAAAGCCAGACAGCUUCCUCUUCUUGUUGCCAUAUGCUACAUCAUUUACCUUCUUGGUGUGUGUGUGUGUGUGUGUGUGUGUGUGUGUGUGUGUACAGGCAAUCUGUAUUCUGAAGAAUUGUGCUCUUUCUUUUCAUUCUGCUCUGUCGGUGGUCAUCACAGCUAUUCUCUUCAUGAAUAUGUAAAUCCCAUGCAUAAAACCACAAAAAUUAGCAUGACAGCUCUUCGCCCACCCCACCCCACCCCACCCGCCCCAAACGUGACCAAUUAUAUUGAACUAAUACAUGAAAAGUGAUGAUUUAAUCUUUUGGCCAGAUGAAUAGUUUCCGGGACGGCUACAAGGGAGUCUAUUAAUUAUCAAACCGUUGGAUACGUACAUAUAUAGCCACCCUAUGCAUCUAACGAUCAUUACACUUCUGUGGGUCUGUGAUAGUGCAGAUGCAGAUAUAUUUCCCAGGAUCUAGUUAGGGGUAAUACUUUGUCGUUGCCCUAUCUAUCUGAGCAUUUGCCGACUUGAAGCAUAUUUGUCUUUUCGGUUUCUUAGCAGAAUGCUACAAUGAAAAAUAGGGAAGGGAAGGGUAAAUAAAUAAAUAAAUAAAUAAAUGGAGGAAGGAAAGAAGGUUUGAAAGCAGAUCCUGCAUUUUCCCCAUGUGCUCUCAAUUCGUUUAGUUAAAGGAUGGAAGCACCGAUGGGUGGUGUGGGUGGGGGUGAGAAGCAUAAGCAAUUGAUGCGUUUUAUUAUUUAAAUCACCAGCCGUGUUCAUGCACAUUUAUAUCGGGUGACGUCAAUGCGACCCUUUUUUUUUGGAACGGUGGUACUGCAGCUCAUACACAGUAAUUAGGCUGAUGUAAUUAUAGUUAAAACAAAGGAGGAUGCCGCUGCUGAUGGCUUUUUUUAAAAAAUUGAAAUAUUAAAGGCGGACACAUAUUCCAGCACAUGGUAAAUGAACCUGAACUGCUGUCAGGGGCUAGGAGGACAGUGUGGCCAGUUGCACCUAUUGUGUCACUGCUGUAGAAAGGAGCUUACUGAUUGGCCACUGUCUGCAGCACAUAAUACUGACUGGUUAUAAAAGACAUGUCUGGGGGGGAAAGCCUGUAGGUACUCCAUUGUCUGGCAAAGUUGAUAUCACUGCAUUUCCCCCCCUUCUCCUUCCCAGAGAGUCAGACAGCUGAACUGUAAAAGCUGUACAGAUCCCCCCCCCCUUUCUCUUACAAUACAGAUUUUUUUUUUGUUUCGUUUCGUUUGGUAUCAUGGCCCCGCUUCAGUUUGCAUACUUAAACAGAAUACUAAUUAAGAUCCCUUGUCUUAAAUAGAAAAAUUACACGGAUGCAAAUAGGAAAAAACCCCCAGCGCUUUAGCUCUUUUUUUCUUU
Molecule: long non-coding RNA, 5408 nt
Filed under: Podarcis lilfordi (Lilford's wall lizard)
Lineage: Eukaryota; Metazoa; Chordata; Lepidosauria; Squamata; Lacertidae
Source: RNAcentral